AUUGAACGCUGGCGGCAUGCUUUACACAUGCAAGUCGAACGGUAACAGGCCGCGAGGUUCUGCCUAGUGGCGGACGGGGGCGUAAUGCAUCGGAACGUGCCGGAACCUAGGGUUUAGUGGGGGAUAAGGUAGGCAAAUACACCCUAAUACCUCUGACGACCUACGGGGGACAGCAGGGCAUCUUCGGACUUUGCGCGCUUGAAUGAGCCGAUGUCGGAUUAGGUAGUUGGUGGGGUAAAGGCUCACCAAGGCGACGAUCCGUAGCUGGUCUGAGAGGAUGAUCAGCCACACUGGGACUGAGACACGGCCCAGACUCCUACGGGAGGCAGCAGUGGGGAAUAUUGGACAAUGGGCGCAAGCCUGAUCCAGCAAUACCGCGUGCAGGAAGAAGGCCUUCGGGUUGUAAAGUGCUUUUGUAGGGAAAGAAACGCAGCUGGUUAAUACCCGGCGGUAAUGACGGUACCGAAAGAAUAAGCACCGGCUAACUACGUG
This 492-nucleotide ribosomal RNA is filed under the name uncultured bacterium. Its description in RNAcentral is "partial 16S ribosomal RNA". It matches the Rfam family "Bacterial small subunit ribosomal RNA", at positions 30 to 507 of the family's 1533-position model. The record is from RNAcentral.